Molecule: ribosomal RNA, 565 nt
Filed under: uncultured organism
Description: bacterial SSU rRNA
Rfam family: Bacterial small subunit ribosomal RNA
Source: RNAcentral
CAAACAGGAUUAGAUAUCCUGCUAGUUCUCACAGUUAACGGUGAUCACUAGGUGUAGUCGGUAUUGACACAUGCUGUGCCGGAGCUAUUAGCAUUAAGUUAUCCGCCUGGGGAGUACAGCCGCAAGGUUAAAACUCAAAGGAAUUGACGGGGGCCCGCACAAGCGGUGGAGCAUUUAUUUUAAUUCAGACGCGAACGCGAAUUAACAUUACCUGGAAUUGACAUCUCGGGAAUCCCGAAGAAAUGGGUGAUGGCCUUCGGGGAGACUCAACACAGGGUGUUUGCAUGGCUGUGUUCAACUGGUUUCGUGAAAUUUUGGAUUAAGUCCCCCAAGGAGCGCAACCUCCAUCUUCAUUUCCCACCGAGUAAAGUGGGGGUUUUAGGAGAUCCUCCGGCGAUAAACGGGGAGAAAGGGGGGGAUGACUUCAAUUCCUCAUGCCCUUUAUGUCCAGGGCUACACACGUGCUACAAUGGUCUGUACAAAGGGAAGCGAUCUCGCGAGGGUGAGCCAAUCCCAAAAAGCCGUCCUCAGUUCGGAUUGGAGUCUGCAACUCGACUCCAUGAAG